UGGCGAACGGGUGAGUAACGCGUGAGGAACCUGCCUCAAAGAGGGGGACAACAGUUGGAAACGGCUGCUAAUACCGCAUAAGCCCACGACCCGGCAUCGGGAAGAGGGAAAAGGAGCAAUCCGCUUUGAGAUGGCCUCGCGUCCGAUUAGCUAGUUGGUGAGGUAACGGCCCACCAAGGCAACGAUCGGUAGCCGGACUGAGAGGUUGAACGGCCACAUUGGGACUGAGACACGGCCCAG
RNAcentral lists this ribosomal RNA (240 nucleotides) under uncultured bacterium. RNAcentral's name for it is "partial 16S ribosomal RNA". It matches the Rfam family "Bacterial small subunit ribosomal RNA", at positions 96 to 334 of the family's 1533-position model. The record is from RNAcentral.